AUUGAACGCUGGCGGCAGGCCUAACACAUGCAAGUCGAGCGGAUGAAGGGAGCUUUCUCCUUGAUUCAGCGGCGGACGGGUGAGUAAUGCCUAGGAAUCUGCCUGGUAGUGGGGGAUAACGUCCGGAAACGGGCGCUAAUACCGCAUACGUCCUGAGGGAGAAAGUGGGGGAUCUUCUGGCCUCACGCUAUCAGAUGAGCCUAGGUCGGAUUAGCUAGUUGGUGGGGUAAAGGCCUACCAAGGCGACGAUCCGUAACUGGUCUGAGAGGAUGAUCAGUCACACUGGAACUGAGACACGGUCCAGACUCCUCCGGGAGGCAGCAGUGGGGAAUAUUGGACAAUGGGCGAAAGCCUGAUCCAGCCAUGCCGCGUGUGUGAAGAAGGUCUUCGGAUUGUAAAGCACUUUAAGUUGGGAGGAAGGGCAGUAAGUUAAUACCUUGCUGUUUUGACGUUACCAACAGAAUAAGCACCGGCUAACUUCGUG
This 484-nucleotide ribosomal RNA is filed under the name uncultured bacterium. RNAcentral describes it as "partial 16S ribosomal RNA". It matches the Rfam family "Bacterial small subunit ribosomal RNA", at positions 30 to 507 of the family's 1533-position model. The record is from RNAcentral.